Long non-coding RNA from Ctenocephalides felis (cat flea), 292 nucleotides. RefSeq lists it as uncharacterized. The record is from RefSeq and is a predicted model, not a curated record. The transcript has 3 exons. Lineage: Eukaryota; Metazoa; Arthropoda; Insecta; Siphonaptera; Pulicidae.
GAGGACAAUAAUAAGGAUCGUUUAUCAAGGUUAAAAUAAUUAUUUUACUAAAUUAAGACAUUAACAUAUCCAUGUGUUCGACAUAACCUCACUUCUUAAAUCUCUUAAAUUAGUCGGUUGAGAAGCGGAUCGAGAAUGAUUGUUUGAAUAUAAGUCGUACAAAAUUGGAAUGAAACGAUGAACAAUAUACAGAUCUUUAGACAGGCUCAAAUAAUGUAUGUUUAGGAGCAACUUGAAGAUAAUGGAGAUUUAUCUUCUUAAUAUAAAACCUCUAAAAUUGGGAACAGUAUGU